Non-coding RNA from Vicia faba (fava bean), 273 nucleotides. The record is from the annotation of a GenBank genome assembly. NCBI's taxonomy places the organism in Eukaryota, Viridiplantae, Streptophyta, Magnoliopsida, Fabales, Fabaceae.
AUGUUAAUGUUACUACUAUAUCAAUCACUGCAAGGUGUCCGAAAACUUAAGACAUAUUACUACUAUAUCGAUCCCUUGAUCAUUCUUGUUUCUACAAUGAAGCCAAAAAUUGUCUCAGAGACUGAAUUUCAUAUUAUAAAAUAUAACAUUCUUCAUUCUUAUUUCUACAAUGAAGCCAAAAAGUGUCUCAAAAGAAACUUGAUUUCAUAUUUUAAACAUGCAAACGAAACAACAAAGGUGAUACAUUACGUCAAACAAUGGCAGAGUAUUUGA